Molecule: ribosomal RNA, 353 nt
Filed under: uncultured bacterium
Lineage: Bacteria
Description: bacterial SSU rRNA
Rfam family: Bacterial small subunit ribosomal RNA
Source: RNAcentral
GGGCCCGCACAAGCGGUGGAGCAUGUGGUUUAAUUCGAUGCAACGCGAAGAACCUUACCUACUCUUGACAUCUACAGAAGCUUGCAGAGAUGCGAGUGUGCCUUAUGGAACCAAGAUACAGGUGCUGCAUGGCUGUCGUCAGCUCGUGUCGUGAGAUGUUCCGUUAAGUCGGAUAACGAGCGCAACCCUUACCCUUAUUUGCCAGCGAUUCGGUCGGGAACUAUAAGGGGACUGCCGGUGAUAAACCGGAGGAAGGUGAGGACGACGUCAAGUCAUCAUGGCCCUUACGAGUAGGGCUACACACGUGCUACAAUGGCCGGUACAAAGGGCUGCCAAGCGCGAGGUGGAGCUAA